RNAcentral lists this signal recognition particle RNA (209 nucleotides) under Chlorocebus sabaeus (green monkey). RNAcentral describes it as "Metazoan signal recognition particle RNA". It matches the Rfam family "Metazoan signal recognition particle RNA". Rfam says of the family: The signal recognition particle (SRP) is a universally conserved ribonucleoprotein. It is involved in the co-translational targeting of proteins to membranes. The record is from Rfam by way of RNAcentral. Lineage: Eukaryota; Metazoa; Chordata; Mammalia; Primates; Cercopithecidae.
GCCGGGCGCGGUGGCUCAAGCCUGUAAUCCCAGCACUUUGGGAGGCCGAGACGGGCGGAUCACGAGGUCAGCAGAUCGAGACCACCCUGGCUAACACGGUGAAACCCCGUCUCUACUAAAAANNNNNNNNNNUUUUUAGUAGAGACGGGGUUUCACCGUGUUAGCCAGGGUGGUCUCGAUCUGCUGACCUCGUGAUCCGCCCGUCUCGG